RNAcentral lists this ribosomal RNA (503 nucleotides) under uncultured bacterium. Its description in RNAcentral is "bacterial SSU rRNA". It matches the Rfam family "Bacterial small subunit ribosomal RNA", at positions 29 to 507 of the family's 1533-position model. The record is from RNAcentral.
AACAAACGCUGGCGGCGUGCCUAACACAUGCAAGUCGUACGAGAAAGUCGGCUUCGGCCGAUGAGUACAGUGGCGCACGGGUGAGUAGCGCGUGGGUAAUCUGCCCCCCGGUCAGGAAUAACCCGCCGAAAGGCGGGCUAAUACCCGAUAACACUGACGCUCCGCGGAGCGUCUUUCAAAGAAGGCCUCUGUUUACAAGCUUUCGCCGGAGGAUGAGCCCGCGUACCAUUAGCUAGUUGGCAGGGUAAUGGCCUACCAAGGCUACGAUGGUUAGCUGGUCUGAGAGGAUGGCCAGCCACACUGGAACUGAGACACGGUCCAGACUCCUACGGGAGGCAGCAGUGAGGAAUCUUGCGCAAUGGGGGAAACCCUGACGCAGCAACGCCGCGUGAGUGAGGAAGGCCUUCGGGUCGUAAAGCUCUGUCAGAUGGGAAGAAAUGGAUGGGGGCUAAUAUCGCCCAUCCUUGACGGUACCAUCAGAGGAAGCACCGGCUAACCCCGUG